RNAcentral lists this ribosomal RNA (425 nucleotides) under uncultured bacterium. Its description in RNAcentral is "partial 16S ribosomal RNA". It matches the Rfam family "Bacterial small subunit ribosomal RNA", at positions 354 to 796 of the family's 1533-position model. The record is from RNAcentral.
GUGGGGAAUCUUGCGCAAUGGGCGAAAGCCUGACGCAGCCAUGCCGCGUGAAUGAUGAAGGUCUUAGGAUUGUAAAAUUCUUUCACCGGGGACGAUAAUGACGGUACCAUACGAGGAAGCCCCGGCAAACUACGUGCCAGCAGCCGCGGUAAUACGUAGGUGGCGAGCGUUAUCCGGAUUUAUUGGGUGUAAAGGGCGUGUAGGCGGGACAGCAAGUCAGAUGUGAAAACCAGAGGCUCAACCUCUGGCCUGCAUUUGAAACUGUUGUUCUUGAGUGUCGGAGAGGUAAUCGGAAUUCCGAGUGUAGCGGUGAAAUGCGUAGAUAUACGGAGGAACACCAGUGGCGAAGGCGGAUUACUGGACGAUAACUGACGCUGAGGCGCGAAAGCGUGGGGAGCAAACAGGAUUAGAAACCCCGGUAGUCC